RNAcentral lists this long non-coding RNA (972 nucleotides) under Rattus norvegicus (Norway rat). Its description in RNAcentral is "long non-coding RNA NONRATT033300". The record is from RNAcentral. Lineage: Eukaryota; Metazoa; Chordata; Mammalia; Rodentia; Muridae.
GCUGAUGGAAAAGCAGAGCACGAGGAGUGACCUGACUCUGCUUCUCACCGGCCUGAGACCCCCGAGAGCUCAUGGUUUUUGAGGCACUGUCUCAGAGGCCUGAGAAGAUGCUCCGCCACUACCAAGACAGGGGGCAGGCUUUCUCUGUGUGGCCCUGGCUAUCCCGGAACUUGCUCUGUAGACCAGGCUGGCUUCAAGCUCAGAGACCCAUCUGCCUCUGCCUUCCCAAGUGCUGGGAUCAAAGACGGGCACCCCCACAUCUGGCUUAGUUAUAUUAGGCUUACUUCCUACUCAAUUCAGGGGUUUCUGUUGAUGAUGAUGUUGUUUUCUGAGAGAGGGUUUCUUUGUGUAGUCCUUGUCCUGAACUUCCUAUGUAGACCAGACAGGCCUCUAACUCACAGAGAUUCCCUUCCCCCCAUCUCUGCCUUCCAGUGUUGGGAUUAAAGCUGUGUGCUACCACGUCUGGUGAGAGGACAUUUUUUGUUGUUGUUGUUGUUGUUGUUGUUGUUGUUUUGGGUUUUUUUUUCCCCGGAGCUGGGGACCGAACCCAGGGCCUUGCGCUUGCUAGGCAAGCGCUCUACCACUGAGCUAAAUCCCCAACCCCAAGAGGAUGCUUUUUAAGGUUGUCUACUUUUCUGCAUUUCCACAGUGAACAGAGGUGACACAACUGUACAUCCCCAAGGACUGGUCUACAUCCCCGCUGAGCUGAAUUCCAUGUUUAAGAUCAAAUGUUCAGGGACUAGCAAGUUGGUUCAUCAGGUAAAAGUGGUGGCCUUUAAACCUGGCCACCUGAGUUCCAACCCCAGUACCCCACUGGUUGAAGGAACUGGCUCCCACAGAUUGUCCUGUGAGCUCCACACAGGCAGUGCAGCACGAUGCACCCACACGUAUAAUCUCUCAUAGGCACACAAUAAAUCCAUAAAGAAUGUAAUAAGAGAGCAACUAAAGGGGACUCACGACACCUACCUCUAC